UGUUGAACCGGACACCCAUGUCCACAUCCAAGCAGCACUGGUUUAGCAUCCUUGUCCUCUACAACUCCAUUUGGACAACAUUCAUUUAUGCAAAAUUACAGUAUAUUGAGUGAAGUUGAUAUCAAGCGGCGCCAAGAGGAUGACAUAAAUAGGGUUUCAACUGUUCUUUCAAUUUCCAAACCAGAGGCAUGUGUUCUUCUCCGCAACUAUAACUGGAGUGUUAGUAAGGUGCAUGACGAAUGGUUUGCUGAUGAAGAGCGUGUUCGGAAGGUGGUUGGUUUACCAGAGAAGCAUAUUGAAAUGACAAAUGACAGAGAAGUAUUCCCAUGCUUCAU
This is an RNA transcript of Zea mays, 335 nucleotides long. It is a transcript of the gene named E3 ubiquitin-protein ligase pseudogene, with no coding region annotated. The record is from RefSeq and is marked validated. Lineage: Eukaryota; Viridiplantae; Streptophyta; Magnoliopsida; Poales; Poaceae. The transcript has 3 exons.